This 508-nucleotide ribosomal RNA is filed under the name uncultured bacterium. RNAcentral's name for it is "partial 16S ribosomal RNA". It matches the Rfam family "Bacterial small subunit ribosomal RNA", at positions 30 to 523 of the family's 1533-position model. The record is from RNAcentral.
AUUGAACGCUGGCGGCAUGCCUUACACAUGCAAGUCGAACGGCAGCGGGGGAGAAGCUUGCUUUUCCUGCCGGCGAGUGGCGAACGGGUGAGUAAUACAUCGGAACGUGCCCUGUAGUGGGGGAUAACUAGUCGAAAGAUUAGCUAAUACCGCAUACGACCUGAGGGUGAAGGUGGGGGACCGCAAGGCCUCAUGCUAUAGGAGCGGCCGAUGUCUGAUUAGCUAGUGGGUGGGGUAAAGGCCUACCAAGGCGACGAUCAGUAGCUGGUCUGAGAGGACGAUCAGCCACACUGGGACUGAGACACGGCCCAGACUCCUACGGGAGGCAGCAGUGGGGAAUUUUGGACAAUGGGCGAAAGCCUGAUCCAGCAAUGCCGCGUGUGUGAAGAAGGCCUUCGGGUUGUAAAGCACUUUUGUCCGGAAAGAAAUGGCUCUGGUUAAUACCUGGGGUCGAUGACGGUACCGGAAGAAUAAGGACCGGCUAACUACGUGCCAGCCGCCGCAGUAA